GUUGGGUGCCUAGAGCACUUUGUGGCGAAGUUAACGCGAUAAGUCGACCGCCUGGGGAGUACGGCCGCAAGGUUAAAACUCAAAUGAAUUGACGGGGGCCCGCACAAGCGGUGGAGCAUGUGGUUUAAUUCGAUGCAACGCGAAGAACCUUACCUACCCUUGACAUCUACAGAAGCCGGAAGAGAUUCUGGUGUGCCUUCGGGAACUGUAAGACAGGUGCUGCAUGGCUGUCGUCAGCUCGUGUUGUGAAAUGUUGGGUUAAGUCCCGUAACGAGCGCAACCCUUGUCCUUAUUUGCCAGCGAGUAAUGUCGGGAACUCUAAGGAGACUGCCGGUGACAAACCGGAGGAAGGUGGGGACGACGUCAAGUCAUCAUGGCCCUUACGGGUAGGGCUACACACGUGCUACAAUGGCCGGUACAAAGGGCUGCGAGCUUGCGAGAGUCAGCGAAUCCCUUAAAGCCGGUCUCAGUCCGGAUCGGAGUCUGCAACUCGACUCCGUGAAGUCGGAAUCGCUAGUAAUCGUGAAUCAGAAUGUCACGGUGAAUACGUUCCCGGGCCUUGUACACACCGCC
RNAcentral lists this ribosomal RNA (573 nucleotides) under uncultured bacterium. RNAcentral describes it as "bacterial SSU rRNA". It matches the Rfam family "Bacterial small subunit ribosomal RNA", at positions 822 to 1394 of the family's 1533-position model. The record is from RNAcentral.